Molecule: long non-coding RNA, 855 nt
Organism: Spinacia oleracea (spinach)
Lineage: Eukaryota; Viridiplantae; Streptophyta; Magnoliopsida; Caryophyllales; Amaranthaceae
Exons: 2
Source: RefSeq, a predicted model, not a curated record
GCGAAAAUAUUUGAGCGAAAAUACAGAGGAAAAUUGAGGAAGAAGAUGAAUAGUGAUGUUCAUGAUUUCUCUGGGAAGUUUGAAGUUUUUUCUGGAGAGGAGGAGAGAUAAAAGAGAGGUGAGAAUGGUUGAAAUAACCGGCUCAAUAAAAGGGGGAUGGGUUAAGAGGUGGGAUUGGGAGAGUAUGGGUUGAUUUUUUAAUUAUUUUUUGUAUGUAGUAGGGUGUAGGUGGGUUAGUAGGGGUGGAGUGAGAAAUAAUAUAAUAUUGUUAGUAUAUUUUCAUUUUUAGAAACAGGUCAAGUAUUAAGAGACGGCCCGAUAAGGAAAACAUGUCAAGUAUUCCGGGACGGAGGGAGUAUACGAUAAGUUCAGAGCCGAUAAGGUAAUCCGUAAAUUACAUAAAUCUCUCCUUUUCAAAGACGAGACCGCAAUCUUGAAACUUGAAACCAACGCAAGUACGCAACCCUUGUUGUUGCUCCAUCCUCAAGAGAGAUGACAAGAGGAAAGCAAAAGCUCGAAGCUCAGAAAAAAAAUGCAGAGAAAAAUCAAAAGAAUAAGGGUUCCCAGAUCGAGGCUCGUGCUGUUGGACUCAAAGUCAUCUGCCCCAUCUGCAAGUCACAGCUAGCAAAUGAGAAACAGCUUAUUGAUCACUACGGCUCGAAACAUCCCAAGGAAAAGCCACCAAGCAACUCAAGUUGACACUAUGGUCAAACCCGGUUUUUACGGUGUAGUAAACCCUCCAUGAUGCCGGUGCAAUGUCUAAAUUGUAUCCGACUAUAUUUUCUUCGAUCUAUAUACAAUUACAUUAGGACUUUUGUUGCUUGUUUGAAAUAAUAAUGGGAGACCUGGACUCCA